UAAGUUGUGGGGGGUGUGUGGUUUUUUUUUUUUGUUUUUUUGUUUUGUUUGAAGCUCUUAACAAUUAAUGUUGCUGCUUAGUGUUUGGGUCUGUGCUGCUGUAUGUAUGUGAGCUGUAAUACUCACUGUGAAGGUCUUCAACUUCACUCCUGAAGUCAGUGAGAUCACGAGCCCACCAGAAGGAAGAAACUCCACACACUUCUGAACAGCUGAAGGAACGAACUCCGGACACACCACCUUGUAGAACUGUGACACUCAUGCCUUAAAAAGGAUAUUCUGUCAUGUGUGGCAAGAUGGAUAAACCUGGAGGACAUUACGCUCCAGUGAAACGGGUACUGCAUUUUGAUAAAUUGAAGGUUUGUGG
RNAcentral lists this long non-coding RNA (364 nucleotides) under Homo sapiens (human). RNAcentral's name for it is "HSALNT0332243". Lineage: Eukaryota; Metazoa; Chordata; Mammalia; Primates; Hominidae. The record is from RNAcentral.